UUUGUAAUAAUUGCAUGAAUACAAGUAAGAUGAGAAAAAAAUACACUUAUUGCAAGUGUUACUUUAUUUCAUAAUUUUAAAUUGAAAAAGGUAGAAAAUGAAAUGUUUACAUUUUUUCUAACAAGUAAACUAGUAAAGUAGUAAUUUCUAAUAUUUUGCAUCGCCCGAGCAAAUUCAUCAUAAUUAAUAUGAACCGAUUGACCUUCUUCUGGAGAGUUAAAUUCGGAUGGAUUUCCAUGGGUUAAUAUAUCUCCAAGUUCCUCGUCUUCUGGGCUANNN
This 279-nucleotide long non-coding RNA is filed under the name Nicotiana benthamiana. RNAcentral's name for it is "long non-coding RNA (NBEN_LNC020816)". The record is from RNAcentral. Lineage: Eukaryota; Viridiplantae; Streptophyta; Magnoliopsida; Solanales; Solanaceae.